Non-coding RNA from Pelobates cultripes (western spadefoot toad), 362 nucleotides. The record is from the annotation of a GenBank genome assembly. NCBI's taxonomy places the organism in Eukaryota, Metazoa, Chordata, Amphibia, Anura, Pelobatidae.
AAGGUAGCCAACACUUUAUUUUUUUAUAAAAAAAAAAAAAAUAUAUAUAUAUAUAUAUAUAUUUUAAUUGGGGAAGCCCUUAAAAUAUUGGGACAUAUAAAAAAAAGACAAAUCUGUUCCACAGAGUAGCUGUUGACAUUAUAGUUGCGCAGGCACUUUGUUGACUCUAGAGAACCUUGGGCCAAUCGCACAUCCCCGUGGCAACGACUUUGCAUGCGGAUGCCAGUUUCUGUGCCUACUAUGGUGACCACGGGUAACGGGGAAUCAGGGUUCCAUUCUGUACAGGGACCCUGAGAAAUGGCUACCACAUGCAAGGAAGGCAGCAGGCGCACAAAUGACCCACUCCCGACACGGGAAGGUAG